RNAcentral lists this ribosomal RNA (460 nucleotides) under uncultured bacterium. RNAcentral describes it as "partial 16S ribosomal RNA". It matches the Rfam family "Bacterial small subunit ribosomal RNA", at positions 338 to 795 of the family's 1533-position model. The record is from RNAcentral.
CCUACGGGUGGCAGCAGUGAGGAAUAUUGGUCAAUGGACGCAAGUCUGAACCAGCCAUGCCGCGUGCAGGAUGACGGCUCUAUGAGUUGUAAACUGCUUUUGUACGAGGGUAAACCCCGAUACGUGUAUCGGGUCGAAAGUAUCCUACGAAUAAGGAUCGGCUAACUCCGUGCCAGCAGCCGCGGUAAUACGGAGGGUCCGAGCGUUAUCCGGAUUUAUUGGGUUUAAAGGGUGCGUAGGCGGUUUGAUAAGUUAGAGGUGAAAUGUCGGGGCUCAACCCCGAAACUGCCUCUAAUACUGUUGGACUAGAGAAUAGUUGCGGUAGGCGGAAUGUAUGGUGUAGCGGUGAAAUGCUUAGAGAUCAUACAGAACACCGAUUGCGAAGGCAGCUUACCAAACUAUAUCUGACGUUGAGGCACGAAAGCGUGGGUAGCGAACAGGAUUAGAUACCCGAGUAGUC